GACGAACGCUGGCGGCGUGCUUAACACAUGCAAGUCGAACGGCAAGGUAAUGCUUUAGUGGGGUACUCGAGUGGCGCACGGGUGAGUCACACGUGAGUAUCGUGCACUUGACUUUCGGAUAACUUCUGGUACCUGGGGCUACUACCGGAUAGGAGCUCGUGCUGCAUGGUGGGGGAUGGACAGUUACGGCGGUUGGGGCUGGACUCGAGGCUUAUCAGGUAGUUGGGGGGGUAGCGGCUGACCAAGGCUUUGACGGGUAGCCGGCCUGAGAAGAUGGCCGCCGACAUUGGGACUAAGAUACGGCCCAGAGUCGUACGGGAGGCAGCUGUGGAAAAGAUGACAGAAUGGGCGGACGCCGGAUGCAGCAAGGCGGGGUGCGGGAUGACGGCCUUCGGGGUGUAAACCGCUUUCUCCUGUGACGAAGCGGGAGUGACGGUAACGGGUAAGGAAGCACCGGCUAACUCCGUG
This 468-nucleotide ribosomal RNA is filed under the name uncultured bacterium. RNAcentral describes it as "partial 16S ribosomal RNA". It matches the Rfam family "Bacterial small subunit ribosomal RNA", at positions 28 to 507 of the family's 1533-position model. The record is from RNAcentral.